GCGCGUGUAGCUCAGGUGGUUAGAGUACUUGCUUGACAUGCAAGGGGUCACUGGUUCGAGUCCAGUCAUGCGCA
This 74-nucleotide transfer RNA is filed under the name Spirochaetia bacterium. RNAcentral's name for it is "tRNA-Val". It matches the Rfam family "tRNA". From Rfam's summary of the family: Transfer RNA (tRNA) molecules are approximately 80 nucleotides in length. Their secondary structure includes four short double-helical elements and three loops (D, anti-codon, and T loops). RNAcentral also lists the same sequence under 1 other name. Lineage: Bacteria; Pseudomonadati; Spirochaetota; Spirochaetia. The record is from RNAcentral.